Molecule: small nucleolar RNA, 82 nt
Organism: Syzygium oleosum
Lineage: Eukaryota; Viridiplantae; Streptophyta; Magnoliopsida; Myrtales; Myrtaceae
Product: small nucleolar RNA SNORD18
Exons: 1
Source: RefSeq, a predicted model, not a curated record
GAGAUGUGAUGAGUACUAUCAAUUUGGUCCGUGUUUCUGAUCAAACCGUGACUGAUUACCCUUUAACCAAUACUCUGAUCUC